RNAcentral lists this ribosomal RNA (474 nucleotides) under uncultured Paraglomus. RNAcentral describes it as "bacterial SSU rRNA". It matches the Rfam family "Eukaryotic small subunit ribosomal RNA", at positions 569 to 1044 of the family's 1831-position model. The record is from RNAcentral. Lineage: Eukaryota; Fungi; Glomeromycota; Glomeromycetes; Paraglomerales; Paraglomeraceae.
AGCAGCCGCGGUAAUUCCAGCUCCAAUAGCGUAUAUUAAAGUUGUUGCAGUUAAAAAGCUCGUAGUUGAACUUCAGGCCUGUCCAGACGGUCCGCCUUAAUUGGUGUGUACUGUCCUUGGGUGGGUCCUACCUUCUGGCGAAGCGGCAUGGCCUUAAUUGGUUGUGUCGGGGAACCAGGACUUUUACUGUGAAAAAAUUAGAGUGUUCAAAGCAGGCAAAUAUGCUCGAAUACAUUAGCAUGGAAUAAUGGAAUAGGACGAUGGUUCUAUUUUGUUGGUUCUAGGACCGUUGUAAUGAUUAAUAGGGAUAGUUGGGGGCAUUAGUAUUCAAUUGUCAGAGGUGAAAUUCUUGGAUUUAUUGAAGACUAACUACUGCGAAAGCAUUUGCCAAGGAUGUUUUCAUUAAUCAAGAACGAAAGUUAGGGGAUCGAAGACGAUCAGAUACCGUCGUAGUCUUAACCAUAAACUAUGCCG